UAACUGAUUGUUUUACAUUUAACAUGGUUAUUACCAAGUUCUGUGAAAGGAAUGAAAUGAAAAAGGCCUUUGAUCUGGUAAAACAAAUGAAUCAGUUUGCGGUUAUUCCUAAUGUAGAUACCUACAAUGCCCUUUUUAAUGGUCUCAUUAGAACUGGUGCUUUAGAUAAAGCCCACUAUGUUUUGCAAGCCUUGUUGGAAAGUGGUUCUGUUCCUACAAAUAAGCAAUACAUCACUUUAAUCAAUGGCAUGUGUAGAGUGGGAAACAUAAAAGGAGCAUUGAAACUGCAAGAUGAAAUGAAAACGCUUGGUGUCUGCCCCCACAAUAUUGCUAUGAGUGCUAUUGUUAGAGGGCUUGCACAUUCAAGGAAGAUUGAACAUGCUAUUUGGGUUCUUGAUUUGAUGCUUGAGAUGCAAAUCAUUCCAACUGUUGCUACUUUCACUACUUUAAUGCACAUUUAUUGCAAAGAAGCUAAUGUUGCAAAAGCUUUAGAAUUAAGGAGAAUAAUGGAACAUUGUCAUGUGAAGCUUGAUGUUGUUGCAUAUAGUGUUCUUAUAUCUGGCCUUUGUGCUAAUGGUGAUAUUGAAGCUGCUUUUAAACUUUAUGAAGAAAUGAAACAAAGAGAUCUAUGGCCUAAUACCUCUUUAUAUUUAGUUCUUAUUGAUUCUUUCUGUGUUGGAAAUUAUCAUAUUGAAAGUGAAAAACUUUUGAGGGAUUUACAAGCCAGGGAACUGGUUUCUUUAAAUUUGUUUGGAGGCGCCAAAAGAUUGAAUGAGUUAUUGAUAAUUGCUAGAAAAGAAUUAAUUCGCUUGAGGUACAAAAUGAGUAGAAAGUUUGGUUGAUUGCAUUAUGCUUUUUCUUUCUCCAGAAUGUGAUUUGUUAGACGAGGCUCAGCCAACAGUUCUGUUACAAGUCCAGAUAUGAUAAUUCUGUAUGGUUACUCAGCAUCAGGUUUGUACUUCAUAGUCCAUAUGCAUAAAAUCCCACUUCUCAUAAUAAGGUUGUAGACAGUGUUACGAGAAGACAUUUACAAGUCUAUUAGCAUAGGUCCAUACUUUUACUGGGUCAGUUCAAUUUGCAGAUUUGUUCCCUCUGUUUAGAGCAGUAGUGAGGAAAGAAGUGCAGCUUUCCCCUUGGUUUAAAACCUUUGGGAGACAAAUAAAGCUCAUAGAAAAGAAGUCCUUCAUCAUAAGGUUGGCCUUCAAAAGUUCCUUUCCAUAGAAGAGCAUUGAUAUUUAAAGAACUAAAGUUCCUAAGUUGAAAUUGGUGCAAGUGCAACCAUACAAAUCCUUAUGUAUCUGCCUCAGGGAUUAUUGGUAAGUUCUCAUUUGUCUGUGCAUUAUACUUAUCCCAAGCUGUUCAGAAGUUAUCUGGUUGGAAGCUUGUAGUGGGAGAUGUUUUCCGUACUCCAUCAAAUCCUGCUCUGUUGUGUGUGAUGGUUGGGGAUGGAGUUCAGAUUCUUGGGAUGUCUGUUGUGACCAUAUUGUUUGCUGCACUUGGAUUCAUGUCACCAGCAUCCCGCGGAACGCUGAUCACAGGAAUGCUGUUUUUCUGUAUGAUACUUGGUAUUGCUGCUGGUUAUGUCUCAGUUUGGAUAUGGACGACAAUUGGAUUCGGCGAUCAGAAGGGUUGGGUUUCAAUCGCAUGGAAGGCCGCAUGUUUCUUCCCAGGCAUUUCCUUUAUGAUUCUAACAACCUUGAACUUCCUAUUGUGGGGAAGCCAUAGCACUGGAGCCAUUCCAUUUUC
Non-coding RNA from Cajanus cajan (pigeon pea), 1746 nucleotides. NCBI's taxonomy places the organism in Eukaryota, Viridiplantae, Streptophyta, Magnoliopsida, Fabales, Fabaceae. The record is from RefSeq and is a predicted model, not a curated record.